Molecule: ribosomal RNA, 279 nt
Filed under: uncultured bacterium
Lineage: Bacteria
Description: partial 16S ribosomal RNA
Rfam family: Bacterial small subunit ribosomal RNA
Source: RNAcentral
UGCCAGCCGCCGCGGUAACACGGGGGGCGCAAGCGUUAUUCGGAAUUAUUGGGCGUAAAGCGCGUGUAGGCGGUUCGUUAAGUCUGAUGUGAAAGCCCGGGGCUCAACCCCGGAAGUGCAUUGGAAACUGGCGAACUUGAGUACGGGAGAGGAAAGUGGAAUUCCGAGUGUAGGGGUGAAAUCCGUAGAUAUUCGGAGGAACACCAGUGGCGAAGGCGGCCAACUGGACGAGUACUGACACUGAGGUACGAAAGCGUGGGUAGCAAACAGGAUUAGAUA